This is a long non-coding RNA of Mustela erminea (ermine), 99 nucleotides long. RefSeq lists it as uncharacterized. The record is from RefSeq and is a predicted model, not a curated record. NCBI's taxonomy places the organism in Eukaryota, Metazoa, Chordata, Mammalia, Carnivora, Mustelidae. The transcript is spliced from 3 exons.
GCCUAACCGACUGAGCCACCCAGGUGUCCGAGGAGGAUGUAUUUGAUGGCAGAGUUGAACUGGAGGGAGACAGGGGUGACAUAUGUGAGGACAUUUCAA